Molecule: long non-coding RNA, 371 nt
Organism: Sphaeramia orbicularis (orbiculate cardinalfish)
Lineage: Eukaryota; Metazoa; Chordata; Actinopteri; Kurtiformes; Apogonidae
Exons: 3
Source: RefSeq, a predicted model, not a curated record
CAGCUCUGAUGCUAAACCAAAGAAAAAGUCAAAAUACUUUAGUUCACUCAAAAAACUCCCAACUCCCAAGAGACAACAAACUGCAAAAUUCAAGAAAACAAGUGUAGCAGAUGAUCAUCAAGAUAAAAAUGCUCAGGUAAAAUCACUGUGGAAGAAGAGAAACACAGAGGUAGUGGUUGCAGUGAUUCCAUUACAGACCAAGGGGCGCAGCCUCCUCAUCCACCACUCUGAGUUACGCACACUACGACCACAUCAGUGGUUGACAGGAGAGGUUAUUGAGGGCCUGUUUCAUGUUGCUGCCCAUGCAGUGAAUGUAGUGGACAGCAUCUACCUGUUGGAUCACUACACAGCAGGUGUUGUCUUGUUUGGGG